RNAcentral lists this ribosomal RNA (253 nucleotides) under uncultured bacterium. RNAcentral's name for it is "partial 16S ribosomal RNA". It matches the Rfam family "Bacterial small subunit ribosomal RNA", at positions 524 to 776 of the family's 1533-position model. The record is from RNAcentral.
UACGUAGGGUGCAAGCGUUAAUCGGAAUUACUGGGCGUAAAGCGUGCGCAGGCGGUUUUGUAAGUCUGACGUGAAAUCCCCGGGCUCAACCUGGGAAUUGCGUUGGAGACUGCAAGGCUAGAAUCUGGCAGAGGGGGGUAGAAUUCCACGUGUAGCAGUGAAAUGCGUAGAGAUGUGGAGGAACACCGAAGGCGAAGGCAGCCCCCUGGGUCAAGAUUGACGCUCAUGCACGAAAGCGUGGGGAGCAAACAGG